UUACCUGGUUGAUCCUGCCAGUAGCAUAUGCUUGUCUUAAAGAUUAAGCCAUGCAUGCCUAAGUCCUAAUUAACUUCAAAUGAAACCGCAAAUGGCUCAUUAUAUCAGUCAUAAUUCACUCAGUGCAUACGGCCGGCUUGGUCUCGUUCGGAUAACUCCGGCAAAUCUAGAGCUAAUACGUGCAAUUAAGCCGUUACCCCCGCGCCGCCUUUCGGUAAACGGAAGCGGAUGGCGGGGUAGGGGCGCAGUUAUUGGAAUCAGAACCGGGUAUUUGAUACAAGGUUGUGAUGACUCCGGAUAUACAUUGCCGAGCGAUCAGGCCUCGUCGCCGCCGCCGCACGUUUAGAGUGAUUGCCUUAUCAGCUCUUUGGUACGGUAAGUCCGUACCGAGGCUGUAACGGGUAACGGGGAAUCAGGGUUCGAUUCCGGAGAGGGAGCCUGAGAAACGGCUACCACAUCUAAGGAAGGCAGCAGGCACGCAAAUUACCCACUCUCGGCUCGGGGAGGUAGUGACAAUAAAUACCGAUGCGAGACUUCAUCCGAGGCCUCGCAAUCGGAAUGAGCUCAAUCCAAACCCUUGUACGAUGAGCUAUUGGAGGGCAAGUCUGGUGCCAGCAGCCGCGGUAAUUCCAGCUCCAGUAGCAUAUACUAAAAUUGCUGUGGUUAAAAAGCUCGUAGUUGAACCUCUAUGAUUCCGGACGCGAGGGCCCGCCCAUCUCGUGCUUCGAAGGCGUACGCGCCGGCGCUCCCGACGUUCACGCGCUACCCAAAAGGCUUUUCCGCGAGUUCAUCCUCCCCUUAUCCUAACCCUUAACCGGGCGGUGUAGGAAAAGAGGCUCUGCUCCCGCACGAAGGAUCUGACCGAGUAGUGCGCGCGUGUGUCGUCGCGGUUCGUCGGCUCAGCCGAGAGGCCGGGCGGUCGUCCUCGAUCGUUCCGGAUGAAAAGGGUUUCGCCGUCCACCGCGGGGUGCUCUUCACCGGGUGUCCCCGCGCGGCCGGCGCGGUCACUUUGAUAAAAUUAGAGUGAUCAAAGCAGGCGAUUUAUCGUUCUGCCCGAAUGUCGUUGCAUUGCACGAUGGAAAAAGACCUCGGUUCGAUCGUUUCUCAUACUCGGUUCUCACGGACUCGAGGUAAUGAUUAACGGGGGCUGACGGGGGCAUUAGUAUUGCGGCGCGAGAGGUGAAAUUCUAUGACCGUCGCAAGACUACCUACUGCGAAGGCAUUUGCCAAGAAUGCUUUCACUAAUCAAGAACGAAAGUUAGAGGAUCGAAGGCGAUCAGAUACCGCCCUAGUUCUAACCAUAAACUAUGCCAACUAGCAAUCCGUCUGAGUCAUAUCCAAGACUUGGCGGGCAGCCCCCCGGGAAACCGAAGUUUUUUGGUUCCGGGGGGAGUAUGGUUGCAAAUCUGAAACUUAAAGGAAUUGACGGAAGGGCACCACCAGAAGUGGAGCCUGCGGCUUAAUUUGACUCAACACGGGGAACCUCACCAGACCCUGACAUCGUAAGGAUUGACAGAAUGAUAGCUCUUUCUCGAUUCGAUGGAUGGUGGUGCAUGGCCGUUCUUAGUUGGUGGAGUGAUUUGUCUGGUUGAUUCCGAUAACGAACGAGACUCUUUCCUACUAAGUAGUCGGCGGAUCGUUUCCCGAUCGCGGGCUCUUCCGGCGAGGGCUCGGUGGGGUCGCGGGUCUGCGGCGCGUUUUUAUUGGCGGCGGCGGCGCCGGCGGGCCCGGAAAUAGGAGAUUGGGGAAGUAAGAGGCUCGUCCUCCCUUCUUCUCUCUAUAACCUAUCUUCCGGCGUUUCGUCGACGUUCAAAACCUAGGUAUUACGCGUCGUAUUACCCCUUCCCCGCUAGCCGAGUCAACCCUCGUCCGGGGUCCCGCUAGGGGCGUCCGUCCGCAACUCUUCUUAGAGGUAUCGGCGGCGUCCAGCCGCACGAGAUUGAGCAAUAACAGGUCUGUGAUGCCCUUAGAUGUUCUGGGCCGCACGCGCGCUACAAUGAAGGUAGCAGCGAGCUUCCCCCCCUCCGAGAGGAGUGGGUAAUCCCAUUAAACUCCUUCUCGAUGGGGAUCGGGGCUUGCAAGUGUUUCCCGUGAACGAGGAAUUCCCCGUAAGGACGGGUCAUGAGUUCGCUCUGACUACGUCCCUGCCCUUUGUACACACCGCCCGUCGCUACUACCGAUGAAUGAUUGAGUGAGGGAGUUGGACUGCCAACCCGAAGGCCGCCGAGCGGCGCGUCCGUGCCUCCGCGCCCGGCCGUCGCGGCGUUUACCCUCGGGUCAGCGCGGAAAGACGUCCGAACUCGAUUAUUUAGAGGAAGUAAAGUCGUAACAAGGUUUUCGUAGGUGAACUG
This 2351-nucleotide ribosomal RNA is filed under the name Dynoides sp. RW04.031. RNAcentral describes it as "partial 18S ribosomal RNA". It matches the Rfam family "Eukaryotic small subunit ribosomal RNA". Lineage: Eukaryota; Metazoa; Arthropoda; Malacostraca; Isopoda; Sphaeromatidae. The record is from RNAcentral.